AGCGUUAAUCGGAAUUACUGGGCGUAAAGCGUGCGCAGGCGGUGAUGUAAGACAGUUGUGAAAUCCCCGGGCUCAACCUGGGAACUGCAUCUGUGACUGCAUCGCUGGAGUGCGGCAGAGGGGGAUGGAAUUCCGCGUGUAGCAGUGAAAUGCGUAGAUAUGCGGAGGAACACCGAUGGCGAAGGCAAUCCCCUGGGCCUGCACUGACGCUCAUGCACGAAAGCGUGGGGAGCAAACAGGAUUAGAUACCCUGGUAGUCCACGCCGUAAACGAUGUCUACUAGCCGUUGGGGUCCUUGAGACUUUAGUGGCGCAGUUAACGCGAUAAGUAGACCGCCUGGGGAGUACGGCCGCAAGGUUAAAACUCAAAUGAAUUGACGGGGGCCCGCACAAGCGGUGGAGCAUGUGGUUUAAUUCGAUGCAACGCGAAGAACCUUACCAAGGCUUGACAUGUUCUCGAUCGCCGUAGAGAUACGGUUUCCCCUUUGGGGCGGGUUCACAGGUGGUGCAUGGUUGUCGUCAGCUCGUGUCGUGAGAUGUUGGGUUAAGUCCCGCAACGAGCGCAACCCUCGUUUUUAGUUGCUAGAAAUCUAAAAAGACUAUCGGUUAUAAACCGGAGGAAGGUGAGGAUGACGUCAAGUCAGCAUGCCCCUUAUAUCCUGGGCUACACACGUGCUACAUUGGGCGAGACAAUGAGAUGCAAACCUGCGAAGGCUAGCUAAUCUAUAAACUCGUUCUAAGUUCGGAUUGUAGGCUGCAACUCGCCUGCAUGAAGGUGGAAUCGCUAGUAAUCGCUGGUCAGCUAUACAGCGGUGAAUUCGUUCCCGGGCCUUGUACACACC
Molecule: ribosomal RNA, 841 nt
Filed under: uncultured eukaryote
Lineage: Eukaryota
Description: partial Bacterial small subunit ribosomal RNA
Rfam family: Bacterial small subunit ribosomal RNA
Source: RNAcentral